Molecule: ribosomal RNA, 474 nt
Filed under: uncultured soil bacterium
Lineage: Bacteria
Description: bacterial SSU rRNA
Rfam family: Bacterial small subunit ribosomal RNA
Source: RNAcentral
AGGACGAACGCUGGCGGCGUGCUUAACACAUGCAAGUCGAGCGGUAAGGCCUUUCGGGGUACACGGGCGGCGAACGGGUGAGUAACACGUGGGUGAUCUGCCCUGCACUUCGGGAUAAGCCUGGGAAACUGGGUCUAAUACCGGAUAUGACCUCCCAUCGCAUGGUGGGUGGUGGAAAGAUUUAUCGGUGCAGGAUGGGCCCGCGGCCUAUCAGCUUGUUGGUGGGGUAAUGGCCUACCAAGGCGACGACGGGUAGCCGACCUGAGAGGGUGACCGGCAACGACUGGGACUGAGACACGGCCCAGACUCCUACGGGAGGCAGCAGUGGGAAUAUUGCACAAUGGGCGAAAGCCUGAUGCAGCGACGCCGCGUGAGGGAUGACGGCCUUCGGGUUGUAAACCGUCUUUCAGCAGGACGAAGCGCAAGUGACGUACCUGCAGAAGAAGCACCGGCUAACACGUGCCAGCACGCGAC